CACGUAGGGGGCGAGCGUUGUCCGGAUUCAUUGGGCGUAAAGAGCUUGUAGGCGGUCUGUCGCGUCUGCUGUGAAAAUCCGGGGCUCAACCCCGGACUUGCAGUGGGUACGGGCAGACUAGAGUGUGGUAGGGGAGACUGGAAUUCCUGGUGUAGCGGUGAAAUGCGCAGAUAUCAGGAGGAACACCGAUGGCGAAGGCAGGUCUCUGGGCCACUACUGACGCUGAGAAGCGAAAGCAUGGGGAGCGAACAGG
Molecule: ribosomal RNA, 253 nt
Filed under: uncultured bacterium
Lineage: Bacteria
Description: partial 16S ribosomal RNA
Rfam family: Bacterial small subunit ribosomal RNA
Source: RNAcentral